GCCGGGGUCCCUCAGCCAGGUAGAGGGCAGGCCUGGAGAGCCUGUGGCCCUAACCCGGGCCGCGUGGGUUCAAAUCCCACCCCCGGCG
Molecule: transfer RNA, 88 nt
Filed under: Candidatus Caldarchaeum subterraneum
Lineage: Archaea; Thermoproteati; Nitrososphaerota; Candidatus Caldarchaeales; Candidatus Caldarchaeaceae
Also listed under: 3 other names
Description: Candidatus Caldiarchaeum subterraneum (hot springs metagenome) tRNA-Ser
Rfam family: tRNA
About the family: Transfer RNA (tRNA) molecules are approximately 80 nucleotides in length. Their secondary structure includes four short double-helical elements and three loops (D, anti-codon, and T loops).
Source: RNAcentral